CAAGAAUUGGAAAGAAUCAAAAAAGCAAUUGAGUCAGUCAAGACUGAAGUUGAAGAAGGGCAGAAGAAACUCUCACAGUAUAAUUUGCAAGAUGAAAUACCUAAAAACUCCCUGACAUCUAAAACAAAUGAUGUUAAAGGAAAUAAAAGUUCCCCAGAUGAUGAUGAUGAUCUGUGUAGCUCUCUUACAAAAGACAAAUGUCUUGUAGCUCCAGUCUCUAAGUACUCUAGCAAAGGCUGUCAUUUGGUAUCCAGUAAAUAUGUCAUUGACCAUAGCUGUCCAGCAACUGACCUUGAAUAUGAUCCACUGCUAAAUUAUUCUGCAGGCCUACUCAGCUCUUCCAUAAUGAAAGAGCAGGAAAAUGACACACAGCAAUUUAAGCUGGUGAAAAUGCCUCUUGCUGAUUUUCACAUGGAGUCUCCAAAAAUGUCUCCAUGUGGAAAUCGGCAUGGAUCCCCAAAGAAGAGAUCAAGAAGCGAUUCACCAAUAAAGCUUGAAAUAAAGCUCCAAGAAUCUGAUGAUGAUGAUAUUCUGGUUAUUGAUGCUCCACCAUUGACUGUCACUAAGAAGCCAAGAAUAAAUAGGAGCUUUAAAAACUGGAAUAGGGAAGAAAACAAACAAGCUGCUAUAACAUGUGCAGAAAAUCUGCGGAAUAGUAACAUAGGAGAAGAUCCUCUUAAGUAUAUUGAGGAAAAACGAGCAGAAGUUACUGUAACUCUGCAAAAGGAUGACAACACAGAUGUAAGCAACCCUGAAAAAUCACUGAAAACGCCACCAAAAACUCAAAGUGCAUAUUUGCCUGAUGUGAAAAUUAAUGCUUUGAAGUUUUUAAAUAACCUUUGUGAACAAAGAAAACCUUUUACUGUCUCUCAGGAAAAUAAUUUAUCUUCAAUUUCUCAUAUUAAGGCACAGAUGCAGAAUGAAACUUUGAAGAAAGAAGAUCCAAAGAGUGAAAUAUCAGUGAAAACGUCUGUUGAAGAAUUGAGUACUAACAAAGAUAAAAACACACCAAGUUGCAAGAGAGAGGCCCAAACUAGCCUGUAUUUUGAAGCCAGCUCAAAAGACCAAACUGUGCUAACUGCACAGGGAACUUGUAAAAAAUUACCUGUAAAUAUAGGAAAAAAUCAGCUCAUACAUGAAAAUGGAGAAAAUGAAGUGUUGGGAAAUGCACCCAUUCAUCCCAGCACUCCCUUGAAUUUGGGUGAGAAAAUUCGUCAUGAUGUAGAUCUCUUGACUAAAAACCGUAGUGGAGAAAGUAAUAGUAAUACUGUGAACACUACCAUCCAAGAAAGUGAAAUAAUUGUAUUAGAUUCUUCUUCAGAAGAAGAGAUGGAGUGUAGUGAAGAGGAUACUGAACUCUCUGAAUCGGAUGACCCUAUAGAGGAAUGCCGGAGAAUUUUCAAUGAGUUUGUUGAAAGCGAAGCACAGAAGCAAGAAAUUGCUAAGCAGGCUCUUGGAGCUCAUGUUGAAGUAGAUACAUUGGAUACCAAGACAAAUAUGGUUUCUGGGCAGAAGAAAAGAAUUGCGCACACUGCAAAAUUCGAUGUGAGUU
Gopherus agassizii (Agassiz's desert tortoise) is the source of this 1552-nucleotide long non-coding RNA. The record is from Ensembl. NCBI's taxonomy places the organism in Eukaryota, Metazoa, Chordata, Testudines, Testudinidae.